RNAcentral lists this ribosomal RNA (668 nucleotides) under Amolops chunganensis (Chungan torrent frog). RNAcentral describes it as "partial 12S ribosomal RNA". It matches the Rfam family "Bacterial small subunit ribosomal RNA", at positions 608 to 1533 of the family's 1533-position model. The record is from RNAcentral. Lineage: Eukaryota; Metazoa; Chordata; Amphibia; Anura; Ranidae.
CUCAAGUUGAUAAACACCGGCGUCAAGCGUGAUUAAAGCUUACAUAAAUUAGGGUCAAAUUGACACUUAGUAGUUAAAAGCUUGUCAUCAAGAAAACCAUAAACGAAAGUUACCCUAAUUAUAAUACUUGAAUACACGACAGCUGGGAGGACAAACUAGGAUCAGAUACCCUACUAUGCCCAGCCGUAAACAAUUAAUUUACACCAACCAACGCCAGGGGAUUACGAGCCAUGCUUAAAACCCAAAGGACUUGACGGUGUCCCAUUCCCCCUAGAGGAGCCUGUUCUGUAAUCGAUGAUCCCCGCUAUACCCAACCAUUCCUUGCUCCAGUCUGUAUACCUCCGUCGAAAGUCUACCCUGUGAACGCAAGUAGGCCUAAUGGACCCCACCCAUACGUCAGGUCAAGGUGCAGCUCACGGAAUGGAAAGUAAUGGGCUACAAUUUCUAAUAUAGAACAAACGAACGACUGUGUGAAACCAUGGUCACGAAGGUGGAUUUAGUAGUAAAAAGAAAAUAGAGUGUUCUUUUUAACCCGGCUCUGGGACGCGUACACACCGCCCGUCACCCUCUUCAAUAGCUUUACCUCAUGUUUAUAACUCUUUACCCGCGCCUUAGAAGAGGCAAGUCGUAACAUGGUAAGUGUACUGGAAAGUGCACUUGGACUACAA